This 313-nucleotide ribosomal RNA is filed under the name uncultured soil bacterium. RNAcentral describes it as "bacterial SSU rRNA". It matches the Rfam family "Bacterial small subunit ribosomal RNA", at positions 26 to 338 of the family's 1533-position model. The record is from RNAcentral.
AGAUUGAACGCUGGCGGCAGGCCUAACACAUGCAAGUCGAGCGGUAGAGAGGUGCUUGCACCUCUUGAGAGCGGCGGACGGGUGAGUAAAGCCUAGGAAUCUGCCUGGUAGUGGGGGAUAACGCUCGGAAACGGACGCUAAUACCGCAUACGUCCUACGGGAGAAAGCAGGGGACCUUCGGGCCUUGCGCUAUCAGAUGAGCCUAGGUCGGAUUAGCUAGGUUGGUGAGGUAAUGGCUCACCGAAGGCGACGAUCCGUAACUGGUCUGAGAGGAUGAUCAGUCACACUGGAACUGAGACCACGGUCCAGACCU